This is a long non-coding RNA of Calypte anna (Anna's hummingbird), 1199 nucleotides long. RefSeq lists it as uncharacterized. Lineage: Eukaryota; Metazoa; Chordata; Aves; Apodiformes; Trochilidae. The transcript has 3 exons. The record is from RefSeq and is a predicted model, not a curated record.
CGAACCGAACCGAACCGAACCGCACCGAACCGCACCGAACCGCAGCGCAACGCGCGGUCACCCCGUGCAGAGCGGAACAGAAAACGGGCCGCCCCACCCAGUGCCUCAAUGUCAAGCACGUCGGCGGCUGCUGGAAGUCAGGGGGGCGGGAAACAUCUGUGUGGAAAGGUCUCCAGUGCUUCCAGCAUCUCUCCAGCCACUGACCAGGAACAAGAACCAUGUUCCCCAGCACUCUCCCCAGGAUAAGCCCAUCCCUGGGACAUUAUGCUCAGACUGCCCUACAGAAGGAGGGAGAUGUCUCAGCAGUUCAGCUGGCACAAAUAGCUGUGACACUGUAAUCCUUGGUCAACUUUACUACACUCCUAGGAAAAGGAGCUCCCCUCAGCCUGGUGGGAAAACAUGACCAGCUCUUGCUACAGGCUCUUACACCAUUGGUGACUGUCACCAUUCCCUGUCCUCACCAGUCAUGCAGCACUAUCUGACUCCCUCUGCAGGUCUCAACCUCUUCAGCAUCACAAGAUGAUGGGCAGGACAGGACACCUGGAAGUGUGCCACUCCUGGGCAAAGAGGUGCCCGAGGGUGGUGCAGGGCCCCCUGCUUUGUGCUCCUCUGCUCCCAUCAGCUGAGUCACAGAGAAAGGCAGACAGGAGAGUCAGGAUCUGGAGAUGGAGCUCUGUGGCCUCUCAAGUCCAUGUGACAGCUCUGUCCUUGCAAGGUGAGACCCUGGACAUCUGACACAUGGGGACUGGAGAACACUUCCAUCCAGUGCAUUCUCUGUGCUAGUUUGUGCCAAGGCCCAGGACACGAAGAUGAGGAUGUCUUUGACUUCUCACCCUUUUACAGGAAGUUCCCCAAGAUUGUGGUAACCAGUUCUCUUGCAUCAGUAUGGUGGGCACAGCUCAUCUUGGGGAAAAGCUCUCACGUUUCCACUUGUGUAUCCAAAUUCAAAAUGUUCAGUUUGAUUGCAUAAAUCAUUGUGUUUGUGAUGUGUGGGAACUCAGACAGCCCUGAAUAGGUUUUAAACUUAAUCCAGAUUGUUUCCAAGGUUAAUCCCAGUUCUAUUAAAGCUAAUUCAAAGUUUAGGUGAAAAUUCAUGGAUUACACACUAAGUAAAAAUAAGAUUAAAAUCUUCUAUGCUACUCAAUGCAUAUAGCCUAUGUCAGAGAAACAAAACCAAAACACUCUUCCUAAGUAAUAAC